RNAcentral lists this ribosomal RNA (260 nucleotides) under Parabacteroides distasonis. Its description in RNAcentral is "partial 16S ribosomal RNA". It matches the Rfam family "Bacterial small subunit ribosomal RNA", at positions 1 to 246 of the family's 1533-position model. The record is from RNAcentral. Lineage: Bacteria; Pseudomonadati; Bacteroidota; Bacteroidia; Bacteroidales; Tannerellaceae.
CUUUUACAAUGAAGAGUUUGAUCCUGGCUCAGGAUGAACGCUAGCGACAGGCUUAACACAUGCAAGUCGAGGGGCAGCAUUUUAGUUUGCUUGCAAACUAAAGAUGGCGACCGGCGCACGGGUGAGUAACACGUAUCCAACCUGCCGAUAACUCGGGGAUAGCCUUUCGAAAGAAAGAUUAAUAUCCGAUGGUAUAUUAAAACCGCAUGGUUUUACUAUUAAAGAAUUUCGGUUAUCGAUGGGGAUGCGUUCCAUUAGUU